This 253-nucleotide ribosomal RNA is filed under the name uncultured bacterium. RNAcentral's name for it is "partial 16S ribosomal RNA". It matches the Rfam family "Bacterial small subunit ribosomal RNA", at positions 524 to 776 of the family's 1533-position model. The record is from RNAcentral.
UACGUAGGGUGCAGGCGUUGUCCGGAAUUAUUGGGCGUAAAGAGCUCGUAGGCGGUCUGUCGCGUCUGCUGUGAAAACUCGGGGCUUAACCCCGGGCCUGCAGCCGAUACGGGCAGACUAGAGUUCGGCAGGGGAGACUGGAAUUCCUGGUGUAGCGGUGAAAUGCGCAGAUAUCAGGAGGAACACCGGUGGCGAAGGCGGGUCUCUGGGCAGUAACUGACGCUGAGGAGCGAAAGCGUGGGGAGCGAACAGG